UACAGAGGUCUCAAGCGUUGUUCGGAAUCACUGGGCGUAAAGCGCACGUAGGCGGCUUUCUAAGUCGGGGGUGAAAUCCUGGAGCUCAACUCCAGAACUGCCUUCGAUACUGGAAAGCUCGAGUCCGGGAGAGGUGAGUGGAACUGCGAGUGUAGAGGUGAAAUUCGUAGAUAUUCGCAAGAACACCAGUGGCGAAGGCGGCUCACUGGCCCGGUACUGACGCUGAGGUGCGAAAGCGUGGGGAGCAAACAGG
RNAcentral lists this ribosomal RNA (253 nucleotides) under uncultured bacterium. RNAcentral describes it as "partial 16S ribosomal RNA". It matches the Rfam family "Bacterial small subunit ribosomal RNA", at positions 524 to 776 of the family's 1533-position model. The record is from RNAcentral.